RNAcentral lists this transfer RNA (72 nucleotides) under Camelus ferus (Wild Bactrian camel). It matches the Rfam family "tRNA". Rfam says of the family: Transfer RNA (tRNA) molecules are approximately 80 nucleotides in length. Their secondary structure includes four short double-helical elements and three loops (D, anti-codon, and T loops). Lineage: Eukaryota; Metazoa; Chordata; Mammalia; Artiodactyla; Camelidae. The record is from Rfam by way of RNAcentral.
GAGGGUAUAGCUCAGUAGUAGAGUGCUUGUUUAGCAUGCAUAAGGUCCUGGGUUCAAUCCCCAGCACCUCCA